This 408-nucleotide long non-coding RNA is filed under the name Homo sapiens (human). RNAcentral's name for it is "long non-coding RNA NONHSAT117499". Lineage: Eukaryota; Metazoa; Chordata; Mammalia; Primates; Hominidae. The record is from RNAcentral.
AUGGAGGAGCUGCAGCCGCUGCUGGUGCAGGAGGCAGUGGACUCCAUCCUGAACAAUCUGGAGAGAGAGAACAUCCGGAAUAUGCAGGGUCUCAUGUUCCGUUGAAGUGCCAGCUGUCGUGAGGACAGGCAGGCUUCCAUGCAGCAGGUGCACCAGUGUGUCAAACUCUGCCAUGUUCCUCUGGCUUAAUCCCAGGCUUUGGUCACCAGUGAGUUCCAGGACUGCCUGGCCCGGUGCACCAUGCAUUGCAACCACAAAGCCAAAGAUUCAAUAGAUGCUGGGAGUAAGGAGCUUCAGGUGAAGCAGCAGCUGGUUGGCUGUGUGACCAAGUGUGUGGAUGACCACAUGCAUCUCAUCCCAACUAUGACCAAGAAGACAAAGGAGCCUCUCUCAUCCAUUGGGAAAUAA